Nippostrongylus brasiliensis is the source of this 72-nucleotide non-coding RNA. The record is from Rfam. NCBI's taxonomy places the organism in Eukaryota, Metazoa, Nematoda, Chromadorea, Rhabditida, Heligmosomidae.
GCCUCAUUGGCUCAGGGGCAGAGCGUCUGUCUAGUAAACAGAACGUCGCUGGUUCGAUUCCAGCAUGAGGCG